AUUCAAACCAAACAAAACCAAAAUGUUUAAGAAAAAAAAAAAAAGUUAGAGAAAUGGUUGAAGCUCCCUUUUUAGCCUUUCUCAUUUCUGAUCCCUGCCAGCUGUCCUCAGCAAUCACCAUCCUGAAGCUGGUGGUCCCCUCUCCACCUUCCGCUGUCUGUUUUACCGUUUGGAACUGUCUCCUGGCAUCUUCUGAGCCCUGGUGGAAAGAGGCCCCAGAGGUAGACAGGAGCUACACAAUGAAAGCUCCCAAAUCCACCUUGCAAUGGGAGUAUUGACUGCUUUUGUUCCUUUCACGCUCUUAUUUUUUUUCCCCCUUUUCUACUUACACUCAUUUUUCUAGCUGAAAAUAGAAAGCCUUAUCAGAUUGGAAUAACAGUCCUUCUUGCUGUAGGUUUUUUUCCCCAAAGACUGGAUGCAUUUGGGCCUCAUCAGAAAGCCAUCUGCUCUGUGCGCAGGCCUAUUCAGAGCCAGAAAAAGAAAACGAAGGAGGGGGAAGCCCUGGCUUACGCAUUUUGAAGAGCUGAGGCUUGCCAGCCCCACCACGUCCUCCACAGAAGCUGACCAUGGGCAGUGGACUGACUGGGAAGGGAAGACGUGAGGACUUCUGCAGAGUGUGCGGUGACCUUGCACAACUCUAUUGCCAGGAAAGGAAAGAGGCUGACUGAAGAGGAAGGAAAGCUCCGAGUAGGUCCUCCAGGAACAAGAUGAAUGGUUCAUGGCUUGCUGCCCUUCCAUUGAGGCCACCCCUUCACUGUAUUUCUUGUUCCUGUGUCACACCCCACCAGUCUUAGUCCAGGUCUCUCAUGGAAAGAUGCCACAAGGUUCUCAGAGGGCACCUCAUUUAAUGCGCGGGGUGCCCUUGCUGCUUGAGGGACCACCACCCAGGCUGUGGUGGACUAGCAGACCUUCCACUAAAGGUAGCCACUCACCGCAUCCGCCAAUGUGCUCCACCCCCACCUUCAUCAAGGCACCACAGCAAAGCUAGGUGACUCAGGAAAGCCCAUCAGACCCAGAUCCAUGCGUAUUCUAAGAACAUUCAGUUUGCACUCUCUUGCCCUUCCUCCUUCUGCCAUGGGAUGAUGCAGCAAGAAGGCCCC
Molecule: long non-coding RNA, 1100 nt
Filed under: Marmota monax (woodchuck)
Lineage: Eukaryota; Metazoa; Chordata; Mammalia; Rodentia; Sciuridae
Source: RNAcentral